This 497-nucleotide ribosomal RNA is filed under the name uncultured bacterium. RNAcentral describes it as "partial 16S ribosomal RNA". It matches the Rfam family "Bacterial small subunit ribosomal RNA", at positions 28 to 507 of the family's 1533-position model. The record is from RNAcentral.
GAUGAACGCUGGCGGCGUGCCUAAUACAUGCAAGUCGAGCGAACAGACGAGGAGCUUGCUCCUCUGACGUUAGCGGCGGACGGGUGAGUAACACGUGGAUAACCUACCUAUAAGACUGGGAUAACUUCGGGAAACCGGAGCUAAUACCGGAUAAUAUAUUGAAUCGCAUGGUUCAAUAGUGAAAGACGGUUUUGCUGUCACUUAUAGAUGGAUCCGCGCCGCAUUAGCUAGUUGGUAAGGUAACGGCUUACCAAGGCAACGAUGCGUAGCCGACCUGAGAGGGUGAUCGGCCACACUGGAACUGAGCCACGGUCCAGACUCCUACGGGAGGCAGCAGUAGGGAAUCUUCCGCAAUGGGCGAAAGCUUGACGGAGCAACGCCGCGUGAGUGAUGAAGGUCUUCGGAUCGUAAAACUCUGUUAUUAGGGAAGAACAAAUGUGUAAGUAACUAUGCACGUCUUGACGGUACCUAAUCAGAAAGCCACGGCUAACUACGUG